RNAcentral lists this long non-coding RNA (2861 nucleotides) under Salarias fasciatus (jewelled blenny). RNAcentral describes it as "lncRNA (ENSSFAG00005009525.1)". Lineage: Eukaryota; Metazoa; Chordata; Actinopteri; Blenniiformes; Blenniidae. The record is from RNAcentral.
UGCGGCGGGCGCCGGCGAGCUCACCCUCGGUACUCGAUGUACUUGUAGAUGCACCCGGCGAUGACCAUGGCCACGAUGGCGUAGUACCAGGACGAGAUGAACAUGAGGGCCAGACACAGGCUCAUUCCCAGGAAGGACAGCGCCCUGCGGGACAGACGCAGCGGUCAGACCCCGGCGGCGGCGGCGGCGGCGGCGCCUCCGGCCGGACUCCACCCACCAGUGGUAGUACUUGAAGCGGGGCCUCCAGUUGGGGGUCCGCAGCAGCGUCUGCACGGCGCAGGCCAGGUUGACGAACAGGUAACACAUGAGGAAGAACCUGCGGGAACACAGCAGGCGUCCCGUCAGUCACAGCCGCGGUGACGGCGGGGGGACCGGCGGACGGACAACCGACAUGGACAGGAUGGGCGCCACGGCGUCCAGCGAGGCGAUCAGGAUCCCGAUCUCACAGAUCCCGGCGGUCAGCAGCAGGGCCCAGGUGGGCUCCCCGUUGGCCUUCCCGUGGCCGAAGACCUGCCGGAAGGGCACGAUGCCGUCCCGGGCGAUGGCCUGCAGCAGGCGGGGGGCGCCGGUCAGGCUCUGCAGGCCGGCGCCGCAGCACGAGAAGAAGGAGCCGAUCACGAUCACCCACGGCGACGGCCACGACAACGUCCCGAUGACCAGGUUCCCCUUCACCGAGUCCCCGAACCUGCAGCCGGGGGCCAGAACCAGAACCAGGAUCAGAACUAGACCAGCUGGAGGCCUCCGACAGAUUCUAAGAAAAUCAACAUUUUCAGGCAAAAUACAGGAAACAGAAAACAACACCGUUCUCAGUGUCAACACUGUUCUCAAAACGUCGCCUUGUAAACUAAACUUUACUGAAACAGAAAUGAUGCAUUUUCAUUUGAAACGUCGUGUGAACAGGUUCUGGGUCGUUUUUGGUCCUAUUUCACCAAACUGAAGUCAGAAAAUGAGGAUUUCUUCUUGUUUAUCACAGCAGACGGACUGCUCUACAGCAGGAACAUCUGCUGAGGGAGCGACAGACGCUACAGACACGUUGACCUUCACAGCGAGCAGAGCAGGUGUUGGACUCUCACUUGUCUCGCAGCAGGACGCCCUCGAUGCAGGCGCCGAACAGGACCACACAGGUAACGUCUGGCAGGAAGCUUCAGGAAAACAGAACGCUCGCCACCGGACAGAAUCCGGACCGCAGGUCAGUGUCCGUCACUCUGAAGGAUACAGAUGAAUGAAGUGGUGGCGAUAGCCAGGAUGGUCCCGAUGGGGAUGGACUUCUGGGCGUCCCUCAGGUCUCCAGACCGGUUCGAUCCGGCCAUGAUUCCUGAAAGACCAAAGAUCUGACAUCAGACCGACUGACACACGAGGCGAGACCAUCACCAGGUUCUCGCUCCCGCGAUGAACCAAUAGCACUGUUUUAAAGGACGAGCGCUAACAUUUAGCUGCUAACCGAUACCAGGACUAACUGAUGGUAUCAGUGCAGCCCUGCUUGGCACCGUUAGCGGCGUGCUAGCAUGCUAGCAUGACUCACCGGUGACGGAGGGGAAGUAGAUGCCCACUAACAGCGUGAAGAAGGUGGUGAUGUCGUUGACCACGUAGGGCAUGUAGAUGUCCUGAGCCGGGUCGCUGCCGCCCACGGACUCCAGCUUCGGGUUCUCCACCAGCAUGGCCAGGGGUCCGUACUGGGACCACAUGUUUUCUGUGGCACGGAGCAGACGACAUGUUUACACGUCACAGCCAAUCACAGAGCAGCUGGUGAGAAGGUGGUGACCUGAAGCGGAUCUGAGCCAAUAACAUCAAACUGGAGGGACCGGGAGUAUGGGACGGUACGGUCAGCUCUGAAGCUCAGCGGGACACGUCUGUCCUGGACCCGAGGGUCUGGGCGGCGCUCUGACCUGACACGACCCCGCUGGUCAGCCCGGGGAUGCCCUGCACCAGCGUCACGUUGUUGUUCAUGAAGUACUCGUUGCAGGAGGCGUUGAGCUCGGGCCCCUUGCAGAACAGCGUCCACAGCCUGGUGGUGGUCGUCACGUUGUCCACGGUCUCCGUCUUCAGACACUUGUCGAAGUCGUGGUUCUGCAGCGUUCGAUUCCCGAGCAUGCAAACGCUGUGUGGAAGAGGACAGGGGGCCCGUUGACGAGGGAACCACUUCCUGCGGACUCUCAGGACCAGGUCUGGUGAGGGACUCACGGGAAGUCUGGCGGCUCGAAGAUGGUUUUGAUGACUCCGGCGUAGAUGGCGAGGAUGGACAGGAUGACGCAGGCCAGGAAGACCAGCGCCAGCUUAUUGACGUACUUGACCCCGACGAAGACCACCACGGCCAUGAGCGCCAGGCAGCAGGUCCCGUAGACGCGCAUGUUGUUGAGCAGGGCGGCCACCUCGUCCUCCUUCCUCUCGGCCACGAAGAUGGCCGCUUUAGGCACGAUGUAGGUCUGAGAGACACGGAAACGGCGAUGGAGAACCGGUCUGAUCCCACCUGAGGCCCGGAGUCGGCGGGACCGGCUCCACUCACCAGCAGGAUCUCGAUGGUACCCAAGAUGUACAUGGAACCGGCGAAGGUGGUGCCCAGGUAGAAGCAGAGGCCCACGGCGCCGCCGAACUCCGGACCCAGAGACCUGGAGAUCAUGUAGUACGAGCCGCCGGCUGCAGAAAGCCACAGAGAACCGCGUCACGUCAGAAGCUCCGCCUCUUGUCACGGUGCCGGAGGGGCGGGAUCGUACCUGGAACCACGCCGUUGGUGGCGAUGGCGCUCAUGGAAAUGGCCGUCAGCAUCGUCUGUGCAGAGAGAGAGACGGAUCAGCGCCGGCCUGGGAUUCUACUGACUUCAUGUUUUCCCAAAGUAAGUGACCGUCAGAGGAUUAAAGACUUUA